This 395-nucleotide ribosomal RNA is filed under the name uncultured bacterium. RNAcentral's name for it is "partial 16S ribosomal RNA". It matches the Rfam family "Bacterial small subunit ribosomal RNA", at positions 971 to 1422 of the family's 1533-position model. The record is from RNAcentral.
UUACCGGCUUGACAUGAACGAAAAUCCUUCGGGCACAGGUGCUGCAUGGCUGUCGNCAGNUCGUGUCGUGAGAUGUUGGGUUAAGUCCCGCAACGAGCGNAACCCUGUCUUAGUUGCCAGCAUAUGGGACUUUAGGAGACUGCCGGUGUUAACCGGAGGAAGGUGGGGANGACGUCAAGUCAUCAUGGCCCUUACGUCGGGCUACACACGUGNUACAAUGGGGUACAAGCGGCACCGNGAGGCGCGCAAUCGCAAAACCGCCCCAGUUCGGAUUGUAGUCUGCAACUCGACUACAUGAAGGUGGAAUCGNUAGUAAUCGUGAUCAGCACGCACGGUGAAUACGUUCCCGGGCCUUGUACACACCGCCCGUCACACCAUGGGAGUUGNUGACCAAA